This 475-nucleotide ribosomal RNA is filed under the name uncultured bacterium. Its description in RNAcentral is "bacterial SSU rRNA". It matches the Rfam family "Bacterial small subunit ribosomal RNA", at positions 365 to 832 of the family's 1533-position model. The record is from RNAcentral.
UUCGCAAUGCCCGAAAGGGUGACAAUGCGACGCCGCGUGAGCGAUGAAGGCCUUCGGGUUGUAAAGCUCUUUCAGCAGGGAUGAAUACAGAGAGGUUAAUAACCUUUUUGUUUGACGGUACCUGCAGAAGAAGCCACGGCUAACUCCGUGCCAGCAGCCGCGGUAAUACGGAGGUGGCAAGCGUUGUUCGGAUUUACUGGGUGUAAAGGUCAUGUAGGCGUCUUACUAAGUCGGAUGUGAAAUCCCUUGGCUUAACCAAGGAACUGCACUCGAUACUGGUAAGAUUGAGUACGGGAGAGGUAAGCGGAAUUCCGGAAGUAAGGGUGAAAUCUGUAGAUAUCCGGAAGAACACCAUUAGCGAAGGCGGCUUACUGGUCCGAUACUGACGCUGAAAUGAGAAAGCUAGGGGAGCAAACAGGAUUAGAUACCCUGGUAGUCCUAGCUGUAAACGAUGGGCACUAAGUAGAGGGGUUUU